CCUACGGGAGGCAGCAGUGGGGAAUAUUGAGCAAGCAGCGCAAGCCUGAUCCAAUCAUGCCAAGCGUGUGAAGAAGGCCUUCGCGGUUGGGAUGCACUUUCAGUGGGGAGGAAGGGUGUUGUUUUAAUAGAGCAGCAUUUUGACGUUACCCACAGAAGAAGCACCGGCUAACUCCAGCCAGCAGCCGCGGUAAUACGGAGGGUGCAAGUGUUAAUCGGAAUUACUGGGAGUAAAGCGCGCGCAGUGGUGUUUUUUAAGUCGGAUGUGAAAGCCCCGGGCUCAACCUGGUCAUUGCAUCUGAUACUGGGAAGCUAGAGUAUAGAGAGGGGGGUAGAAUUCCAAGUGUAGCGGUGAAAUCCGUAGAGCAGGAAGGACAACCAUUGGGGAAGGCGGCCCCCUGGCACAAUACUGACGCUCAGGUGCGAAAGGGUGGGGAGCAAACAGGAUUAGAUACCCUGGUAGUCCACGCCGUAAACGCUGUCUACUAGCUGUUCGCGUCCUUGUCUUGUCAGUAGCGCAGCUAACGCGAUAAGUAGACCGCCUGAAGACGU
This 551-nucleotide ribosomal RNA is filed under the name uncultured bacterium. RNAcentral describes it as "bacterial SSU rRNA". It matches the Rfam family "Bacterial small subunit ribosomal RNA", at positions 338 to 882 of the family's 1533-position model. The record is from RNAcentral.